AGAAGUGGGAUCUGGGGGAUGUGUGGGGCAGAAUUGGGAUCUGGGGGAUGUGUGGGGCAGGAGGAGGGAUGUGUGGGGCUGGAGAUCUGUGGGGCUGGAGGAGGGAUCUGUGGGGCAGAAGUGGGAUCUGGGGGAUGUGUGGGGCAGAAGUGGGAUCUGGGGGAUGUGUGGGGCAGGAGGAGGGAUGUGUGGGGCUGGAGGAGAGAUCUGUGGGGCUGGAGGAGGGAUCUGUGGGGCAGAAGUGGGAUCUGGGGGAUGUGUGGGGCGGGAGGAGGAAUCUGUGGGGCAGGAGGAGGGAUGUGUGGGGCGGGAGGAGGGAUCUAUGGGGCAGAAGUGGGGUCUGGAGGAUCUGGGGCGGGAGGAGGGAUCUGUGGGGCAGAAAAGUGGGAUCUGGGGGAUGUGUGGGGCGGGAGGAGGGAUCUGUGGGGCAGCCCCUACCCCUGUGCCCCACAGCCGUGGGCCGGCGGAGGCGGACGAGCUGCUGAAACGUGUGGGGUUCCUGUACGACGGCACCUACCGCUGGGUCAACCCACACCCGCACUGACCCACAGCUCUGCCCCAUAGAUCCUGCCCCAUAGAUCCCGCCCCAUAGAUCCCGCCCCACAGCCUCCCCCCCAUGUUACGCUCCCAGCCCCAUAGCGAUGGGGUCUUGUGGUGGGGGGUGGUGGUGGGGUGCCCCAUAGAUCCACCCCAUGUUACACUCCCUGCCCCAUAGCGAUGGGGUCUUGUGGGGUGGGGUGGCUAUGGGGUGCCCCAUAGAUCCCGCCCCAUAGAUCCACCCCACAGAUCCCGCCCCACAGCCUCCCCCCUGUGUUACACUCCCUGCCCCAUAGCAAUGGGGUCUUGUGGUGGGGGGUGGCUAUGGGGUGCCCCAUAGAUCCACCCCAUGUUACACUCCCAGCCCCAUAGCGAUGGGGUCCUGUGCUGCUGGGGAGAGGCUGUGGGGUGCCCCAUAGAUCCUGCCCCAUAGAUUCUGCCCCACAGCCUCCCCCCUGUGUUACACUCCCUGCCCCAUAGCGAUGGGGUCUUGU
RNAcentral lists this long non-coding RNA (1031 nucleotides) under Numida meleagris (helmeted guineafowl). Its description in RNAcentral is "lncRNA (ENSNMEG00000002687.1)". Lineage: Eukaryota; Metazoa; Chordata; Aves; Galliformes; Numididae. The record is from RNAcentral.